GUUUUGGUCACUUAUAAGGGUACAGGGCGUAAAACGAGAAUGGCAAAUGGAAGAUAAUGAGAUUUAUAUAUGAAGUACACAUUUCAAAAACUUGAUUCGGUAUGCUUUUUAGGUUGUCCAGUUAGCAGGCUUAGACUAUGGAACCAGAAGCUAAGGGGAUAGCCUUAAGUUAAAAUCAGAGAUCCUUUCCACCUGCACGCCUUACAAAUGAAAGCUAAGUGUAGUGUUACCAUGCUACACCAGAGAUACUCUGUGAUUGGAAUUAAUUUUCGGAUUUUUAAUUCAAUAUCUACACACACCUUCUUGGCCAAAUGAAAUAUCACAUAUGGAUACAACAAUACAAUAGUGAUAAACAAGCAGAUUUACUCAGUGGUUGCAGUUGUGUUAGAAGUGUUCAAACUUUCCAGUGUGAGUGACUUUUGAUCUGAGUACAGCAACAUUUUUGUCUUCUGUGUGUUGAAGUUUGUGACAUAUUGCUAUAUCACUGCACAGUUUCCAUUUCCUGGAAGAGUCCCAGCUCCUUUGGGGGUUUGGGUAAUAAUGUAUGUACACUAUACAAGUGUAAUACCAAACGUGAUUAUGUGUAUGCUAUACAGUGAAUAUUAGACUUAAUUCAUUCGCAGGAAAAAUGUCAUGUAUGAAGGUGUCACCUCCGUUUGUGUGGAUGUGUCGUCUUUUUGCCUGAGUCAUUGUUUGAAUUUAGAGUGUAUAAAAUAGGUUUGCUUUACAACAGGUCCUCUUAUUUUGUCUGCGAUUGCUGGCAAGUCAGGCAGUUCCCUAAAUUUGUACAGAGUCUUUUGGACAAAAGAAACUGCUCAAAGAGAUCUAUUUUAUUAUAGUCCUUUAUUAUGUUCAAUGUUACUAUCUUAUUUUUGACAAUAUUCUUCUUUAAAGCAUCUCACUAAAGUGAGGACCUGAAGAUCUCGCGUAGACUGAACGGGUGACUACAGGACCACAGAAUGAUGUCGGAGCAUCUCAAACAGUUACAUUUCUGUGCUAUAGCUACAUGAAGCACAAUUAGAGCUUAAAACGGUUCAGUUUUGUGGUGUAUGACCUCUAGGCCGAGGUAAUGAAAACUGAUUUUGACUAGCUUUUGCUGCUCAUGUAUUACUCUUGUACAGGAGUACCGCCUAAAGCUGUGCACUCAGCCAUGAUGUGCAAAAGGGUCACAUUUAAUAAAGAUGGUUAUGAUCCGAGAGGCUCUGUCAUCAUUUCUUUUAUUUAAAUAUCACCACUAGCUGGCGGUAUUGACUUUUAGUGUGUAGACUGUAUAUACAGCCUAUGCUUGGUGUGUUGCAAUAGCAUCACAAAAUGGGAUGGAUCAUGAUGACAUGAUGGUCUCGAAUCCUGAAAUGGAUCAUGGGUUCAACAAGUUCAGGUAAAUUUGUUAUAUAUAAAUGUGUACAUCCAAGAACAUACAUUUUCACUCCCCGACUUUAUUUAUUUAUUCAUUCAUCAUUAACUCAUUAUAAAAUAGAGGCAUGGUGCUAACAGCCAAGCUUAUAAUUUUUUCAUAGACUUGUUACCUAUAAAAACACAGAUGCGUAAGUGAAGUUCUGACUUUUGCUACUCUACCCAGUACAAAAAAGAAAAGAAUGAAAGCGAAGAAGAUAAAAUGUACAUUUUGUAUAGUGUGUGUGUGUGUGUGUGUGUGUGUGUGUGUGUAUUUGAUUAGGGGAGGGAAAAAAGAGCCUAAAAUUAAACAACGAUUUCCCCCAUACAUGCACUGACCGGUGUCGCUAUAUAAGUAUUACAAACUUUUAUCAACUUUUUGUCAACUUAAUUUUCACCUGAAAAUCUC
Molecule: long non-coding RNA, 1801 nt
Organism: Ictalurus punctatus (channel catfish)
Lineage: Eukaryota; Metazoa; Chordata; Actinopteri; Siluriformes; Ictaluridae
Source: Ensembl